This 301-nucleotide ribosomal RNA is filed under the name uncultured bacterium. Its description in RNAcentral is "partial 16S ribosomal RNA". It matches the Rfam family "Bacterial small subunit ribosomal RNA", at positions 509 to 807 of the family's 1533-position model. The record is from RNAcentral.
CAGCAGCCACGGGAAUACGUAGGGUGCAAGCGUUAAUCGGAAUUACUGGGCGUAAAGCGUGAGCAGGCGGUUAUAUAAGACAGAUGUGAAAUCCCCGGGCUCAACCUGGGAACUGCAUUUGUGACUGUAUAGCUAGAGUACGGCAGAGGGGGAUGGAAUUCCGCGUGUAGCAGUGAAAUGCGUAGAUAUGCGGAGGAACACCGAUGGCGAAGGCAAUCCCCUGGGCCUGUACUGACGCUCAUGCACGAAAGCGUGGGGAGCAAACAGGAUUAGAUACCCGAGUAGUCCCUGUCUCUUAUAC